This is a non-coding RNA of Ignavibacteria bacterium, 453 nucleotides long. The record is from Rfam. NCBI's taxonomy places the organism in Bacteria, Pseudomonadati, Ignavibacteriota, Ignavibacteria.
GGGGGAAAGCGGGCAGUUGCGUUCCGGUAUAACGGGAUGAGGAAAGUCCGAACUCCACAGAACGAUGCACUUCGUAACACGAAGGCAGUUAACCCUUCGGGGCAAGCUGACGGAUAGUGCAGCAGAAAGCAUACAGCCAAUCCGUCCCGGCAAAUAUCGUUAGAUAUAUGUCGGGAGCAUGGAGGCAAAGGUGAAAAGGCGAGGUAAGAGCUCACCAGCGUUGCGGGUAACCGCAUCGGCUAUGAAAACCCUGCAUGGAGCAAAGCCAAAUAAGGAUGCGGAUCCCGGGAAACCGGGAUAGAGAGUUGUUCGCUCGAUAAGGUUUAUUCCACCGUGUUCGGGUAGGCUGCAGGAAAGCAGUGGCGACAUUGCUUCAAGAUUAAUGACUGCCUCGAUGCUUUUCUUAAUUGAUUUGCCUCAAGACAAAAUUCGGCUUACAGCUUUCUUCCUAUA